UACAGGGGGGGCAAGCGUUGUUCGGAAUUACUGGGCGUAAAGCGCACGCAGGUGGCUGAGUCAGUCGAUUGUGAAAGCCCUGGGCUUAACCUGGGAAUUGCAGUCGAUACUACUCGGCUCGAGUAUGGGAGAGGGCAGUGGAAUUCCCGGUGCAGCGGUGAAAUGCGUAGAUAUCGGGAGGAACACCAAUGGCGAAGGCAGCUCGCUGGGACGGUACUGACGCUGAGACGCGAAAGCGUGGGGAGCAAACAGG
This 253-nucleotide ribosomal RNA is filed under the name uncultured bacterium. RNAcentral's name for it is "partial 16S ribosomal RNA". It matches the Rfam family "Bacterial small subunit ribosomal RNA", at positions 524 to 776 of the family's 1533-position model. The record is from RNAcentral.